RNAcentral lists this long non-coding RNA (2786 nucleotides) under Homo sapiens (human). RNAcentral describes it as "HSALNT0408586". The record is from RNAcentral. Lineage: Eukaryota; Metazoa; Chordata; Mammalia; Primates; Hominidae.
UGAAAAUUGAUCAUGAACUGAUUAGUUAAGAGAAGGAGAGGGGGCCAGACUCCAACAAAAGUCAGAUUUUGGUUGAAGUCAGAGAGAGGUUGUGAGAUUGCCAUCCCUUGACAUCUUUUUAAAAGUGAAUUGUUUAAUCACUUUUUUUUAAGCUGAUUUCUUAGCCAUCUUGCAGAAAUAUGAGGCAGGGGCACUUAUCCAUUAGGUACAGUAGGUAAGGUAACUAAGCCCAAUGACACCCUUAGCAGCCCAUGAAAAUGGUUUAGUUUCUUUCAUAAAAUGGUGCUGAAGAUAAUGAUAGUUGCAAAGGAAAAAAUACGGUAGACCAAUAUCAUAGUAUGUUACCAAGCAUAGGGCCUAUUAUUGGAAGCUAUUUCCAGUGCUCAGGAUAUUAACAUCUCCUGGAGCGUCUGCAAAACACAUCUUGAAGGCAGAACCAUAGUCCUCAAUUUGGCCUGCCUCUUUUAUUUGACAAUAAAGUUUUAUUUAUUUCUGAGCAUAAGAUUGGGAUUUUAUUUCUAGAAAAAGGGAGAAAAGGUGGAAGGAGGAGGAGGCAGGGAAAAGGUGGAAACUUGCCCAGGCCCAUAGCAGGAGCCCAACACAGGGAACACUUAAGCUUGUGUAGAGUACUUGUAACCAGAAGCCCGGAGGUGGAGCACAGCAGAGGAUGCAAUGUGCCACUGUCGCGGCCAGAGCCCAUGCAGUGUAAACAUUAACAUUCUUGGAUGCACUAAGCACUGGGCUGCGGUCUACACUUGCAUUCUGAGGUGGUGGAGUCAUGGCCAAAAUUUUGGAGUACUUGGACUUUUCUCAAGAAGCGUUGCACUUCUUGUCCGGACCGGGGAUUACCGCAGAUCGCAGCCCAGAGUCUGCGGAGGCGCACCGUUUCAUCAACAGCAGGGACUGAAACUUCAGCCCAGGAGAAGCCAAGAUGGCACCGUUAUCGCACCCUGGGAAUCGAGGACCGGGAAGAACUUAAUGAUGCGAUUCCUCCCGUGAUCUCAGUGAUUGUAUCAGGCGAAAACGAGGAGGGCAAAAUACCGUCCAGAUGUAAACUAGGAGCAGCCGCACCAGCAGCACCAGCAGAAUGCCGUGGUAGUGCGGCAGGCCCUGGCCCCAUGGACAAAGAGAAACUCGUCAGUGGCAGUGGCCACGAACUCAGAAAGCCUGAGGACAGUCAGCAGCUCCUCUGGCUCUUCACUUUCACACUGGUGCAACUACAGGAGCUGAAGAACAUUUUUCAACUCGUUCCAUACCCGGACGUGUUAGAUGGAGUCUCCCUCUGUCGCCCAGGCUGGAGUGCAGUGGCGCGAUCUCGGCUCACUGCAACCUCCACCUCCCGGUUUUAUGCGAUUCUCCUGCCUCAGCCUCCCGAGUAGCUGGGACUACAGUGGCCUCAGGGAUAUGGAAUUAAGAUCCACCUGGUGUGAUGAAUAAACCCAGACUCUCAGCAACGCAGGAAAAAAAAAACAAAAACUGGCUGGCGAUCUGGAGUAAAGGAUCCUCACAUCCACGUGAACCAGGAAACUCUGUGCCCAAAUCGACGAAAAAAAAACACUGGGAGAGCCGAACUAAAAGUCUUUUAGCACGGGUACCAGCCCUAGAAUUUCCAGUACACCAGCAGCAGCCUGGAAACCACAUCCUCAUCAAAAGACAGAAAGAAAAAAACUCGAGCCAGCCUGAGAAGGACCCUAUUUUAUGCUGUUAACCACUGAGACUGCCAUCCUCACAGCUGAGAAAGGAUGGACCCACCAUACUCAAGUCAAGAAAACAUCUUCCUCGUCAGAAUCAUGGGUUACUGUACUAGGAUUAAGCCUUACUAAGUUAAAGUUAAAGAAAGCUUAAUUUUCAUAUACCUUCUAUAUUGCUUCUUUUCCUUUCCUUAUUCUGUUACUAGCUCCUUUGUUAUUAAUGUAACUAAGUCUGAGUCACCUCAGACCAUUGCCUUUUAUGCUUGCUCUGUCAUACCUUGUGGAAAUGUAAAAGAUCAAUGACAGCUAGCCUUUUCACACAAUUAUUUAUGCCUCGGCCCUCUAAUUGACACAGUUACCCCUAGCACUCAUCGUUGUGAUCACCUGCAGCCAAGACGCUGAUUUUCUGCUCCUAUAGCCUGGCAACCUUGUGGUACAUGGGACUACGUCCUUUAAACUACCCAGGAGCAAAGUUGGACUUCCAUGAAAAAGGUUUGUGCAGAUCUAAAACCUCUCAUCUAUUUCACUAAAAGGACUUCCCCUUCUAACUGUCACCCUUACCAAUGUAACCCUGUCCUCUCUAUCACCACCUCCACCUGUCUUUAACUAACUCUAGACCUGUCCUUAAUUGCUUUUAUGGUAUUGGAAUAGGAAUUAAAAGAAAUUAAAGAAUGUGUAAGGAGAAACUCAGUUGUAUGUAAGAAAACCCAAUUCCCCCUGAGAAAGAGAAAGAGUUGGAGUCCUUUAAAAAUUAACUGCCUGUUUUUCUGUGGCUAGUGAGCCUUAUCUCUCCUCCUUUCCCAGACAUUGUGAAGACCCUGUUUCUCUAGCUGUGCAGCUGCAAGGUCACUAGACAGAUAAACUCAAGUUGUAAAACAUGUUUUUCCUUGAAAAGUAAGAAAUGCUGUAAUGCAUUUCUCAAUUAAUUAAAUAACUGUCUUUGUUUCUCGCUUCUGUAAUAUGCUUCCCCCUGCACAGAUCUCCACCCACCCUACAAAAUGCUUAAAAGGUAACUUAACUCUUUGUUCUGGGCUCAGUCCUUUGGGCUGAGUACUGGGCCGGUGCACCUAAAUAAUAAAUAUCUUCCUGAACCCC